GUGCUUGCCUCGGCAGCACGUAUACUAAAAUUGGAACGACAAGAUCAGCAUGGCCCCUGCGCAAGAGCAACAAGCAAAUUCAUGAAGCGUCCCGUUAAAAA
This 101-nucleotide small nuclear RNA is filed under the name Nannospalax galili (Upper Galilee mountains blind mole rat). Lineage: Eukaryota; Metazoa; Chordata; Mammalia; Rodentia; Spalacidae. The record is from RNAcentral.